GGUUAAGCGACUAAGCGUACACGGUGGAUGCCCCGGCAGUCAGAGGCGAUGAAGGACGUGCUAAUCUGCGAAAAGCGUCGGUAAGGUGAUAUGAACCGUUAUAACCGGCGAUGUCCGAAUGGGGAAACCCAGUGUGAUUCGUCACACUAUCGUUAACUGAAUACAUAGGUUAACGAGGCGAACCGGGGGAACUGAAACAUCUAAGUACCCCGAGGAAAAGAAAUCAACCGAGAUUCCCCCAGUAGCGGCGAGCGAACGGGGAGCAGCCCAGAGUCUGAAUCAGCUUGUGUGUUAGUGGAACGGUCUGGAAAGUCCGACGGUACAGGGUGAUAGUCCCGUACACCAAAAUGCACAGGCUGUGAACUCGAAGAGUAGGGCGGGACACGUGGUAUCCUGUCUGAAUAUGGGGGGACCAUCCUCCAAGGCUAAAUACUCCUGACUGACCGAUAGUGAACCAGUACCGUGAGGGAAAGGCGAAAAGAACCCCGGCGAGGGGAGUGAAAAAGAACCUGAAACCGUGUACGUACAAGCAGUGGGAGCACCUUCGGGUGUGACUGCGUACCUUUUGUAUAAUGGGUCAGCGACUUAUAUUCUGUAGCAAGGUUAACCGUAUAGGGGAGCCGCAGGGAAACCGAGUCUUAACUGGGCGUUAAGUUGCAGGGUAUAGACCCGAAACCCGGUGAUCUAGCCAUGGGCAGGUUGAAGGUUGGGUAACACUAACUGGAGGACCGAACCGACUAAUGUUGAAAAAUUAGCGGAUGACUUGUGGCUGGGGGUGAAAGGCCAAUCAAACCGGGAGAUAGCUGGUUCUCCCCGAAAGCUAUUUAGGUAGCGCCUCGUGAACUCAUCUUCGGGGGUAGAGCACUGUUUCGGCUAGGGGGUCAUCCCGACUUACCAACCCGAUGCAAACUACGAAUACCGAAGAAUGUUAUCACGGGAGACACACGGCGGGUGCUAACGUCCGUCGUGAAGAGGGAAACAACCCAGACCGCCAGCUAAGGUCCCAAAGUCAUGGUUAAGUGGGAAACGAUGUGGGAAGGCACAGACAGCCGGGAUGUUGGCUUAGAAGCAGCCAUCAUUUAAAGAAAGCGUAAUAGCUCACUGGUCGAGUCGGCCUGCGCGGAAGAUGUAACGGGGCUAAACCAUGCACCGAAGCUGCGGCAGCGACACUAUGUGUUGUUGGGUAGGGGAGCGUUCUGUAAGCCUGCGAAGGUGUGCUGUGAGGCAUGCUGGAGGUAUCAGAAGUGCGAAUGCUGACAUAAGUAACGAUAAAGCGGGUGAAAAGCCCGCUCGCCGGAAGACCAAGGGUUCCUGUCCAACGUUAAUCGGGGCAGGGUGAGUCGACCCCUAAGGCGAGGCCGAAAGGCGUAGUCGAUGGGAAACAGGUUAAUAUUCCUGUACUUGGUGUUACUGCGAAGGGGGGACGGAGAAGGCUAUGUUAGCCGGGCGACGGUUGUCCCGGUUUAAGCAUGUAGGCUGGUUGUCGGGCAAAUCCGGAUAAUCAAGGCUGAGGUGUGAUGACGAGGCACUACGGUGCUGAAGUAACAAAUGCCCUGCUUCCGGGAAAAGCCUCUAAGCAUCAGGUAACAUCAAAUCGUACCCCAAACCGACACAGGUGGUCAGGUAGAGAAUACCAAGGCGCUUGAGAGAACUCGGGUGAAGGAACUAGGCAAAAUGGUGCCGUAACUUCGGGAGAAGGCACGCUGGUGUGUAGGUGAAGUCCCUGCGGAUGGAGCUGAGACCAGUCGAAGAUACCAGCUGGCUGCAACUGUUUAUUAAAAACACAGCACUGUGCAAACACGAAAGUGGACGUAUACGGUGUGACGCCUGCCCGGUGCCGGAAGGUUAAUUGAUGGGGUUAUCCGUAAGGAGAAGCUCUUGAUCGAAGCCCCGGUAAACGGCGGUACGUAACUAUAACGGUCCUAAGGUAGCGAAAUUCCUUGUCGGGUAAGUUCCGACCUGCACGAAUGGCGUAAUGAUGGCCGGGCUGUCUCCACCCGAGACUCAGUGAAAUUGAACUCGCUGUGAAGAUGCAGUGUACCCGCGGCAAGACGGAAAGACCCCGUGAACCUUUACUAUAGCUUGACACUGAACAUUGAGCCUUGAUGUGUAGGAUAGGUGGGAGGCUUUGAAGCGUGGACGCCAGUCUGCGUGGAGCCAACCUUGAAAUACCACCCUUUAAUGUUUGAUGUUCUAACGUUGGCCCCUUAUCGGGGUUGCGGACAGUGUCUGGUGGGUAGUUUGACUGGGGCGGUCUCCUCCCAAAGCGUAACGGAGGAGCACGAAGGUUAGCUAAUCCUGGUCGGACAUCAGGAGGUUAGUGCAAUGGCAUAAGCUAGCUUGACUGCGAGCGUGACGGCGCGAGCAGGUGCGAAAGCAGGUCAUAGUGAUCCGGUGGUUCUGAAUGGAAGGGCCAUCGCUCAACGGAUAAAAGGUACUCCGGGGAUAACAGGCUGAUACCGCCCAAGAGUUCAUAUCGACGGCGGUGUUUGGCACCUCGAUGUCGGCUCAUCACAUCCUGGGGCUGAAGUAGGUCCCAAGGGUAUGGCUGUUCGCCAUUUAAAGUGGUACGCGAGCUGGGUUUAGAACGUCGUGAGACAGUUCGGUCCCUAUCUGCCGUGGGCGCUGGAGAAUUGAGGGGGGCUGCUCCUAGUACGAGAGGACCGGAGUGGACGCAUCACUGGUGUUCGGGUUGUCAUGCCAAUGGCACUGCCCGGUAGCUAAAUGCGGAAGAGAUAAGUGCUGAAAGCAUCUAAGCACGAAACUUGCCCCGAGAUGAGUUCUCCCUGAGACUUUAAGUCUCCUGAAGGAACGUUGAAGACGACGACGUUGAUAGGCCGGGUGUGUAAGCGCAGCGAUGCGUUGAGCUAACCGGUACUAAUGAACCGUGAGGCUUAACCUU
This 2902-nucleotide ribosomal RNA is filed under the name Klebsiella pneumoniae. Its description in RNAcentral is "23S ribosomal RNA". It matches the Rfam family "Bacterial large subunit ribosomal RNA". The record is from RNAcentral. Lineage: Bacteria; Pseudomonadati; Pseudomonadota; Gammaproteobacteria; Enterobacterales; Enterobacteriaceae.